AGAAGAUUAGUUUAAAGAAAACAUUUACUUGUCAAGUAUAAAAAGAAUUAUAUUUCAUCUUCUU
This 64-nucleotide transfer RNA is filed under the name Stictocephala bisonia. RNAcentral's name for it is "tRNA-Asp". Lineage: Eukaryota; Metazoa; Arthropoda; Insecta; Hemiptera; Membracidae. The record is from RNAcentral.